This 425-nucleotide ribosomal RNA is filed under the name uncultured bacterium. Its description in RNAcentral is "bacterial SSU rRNA". It matches the Rfam family "Bacterial small subunit ribosomal RNA", at positions 354 to 796 of the family's 1533-position model. The record is from RNAcentral.
GUGGGGAAUAUUGGACAAUGGGCGCAAGCCUGAUCCAGCCAUGCCGCGUGAGUGAUGAAGGCCUUAGGGUUGUAAAGCUCUUUCAGUGGGGAUGAUAAUGACGGUACCCACAGAAGAAGCCCCGGCUAACUUCGUGCCAGCAGCCGCGGUAAUACGAAGGGGGCUAGCGUUGUGCGGAUUUACUGGGCGUAAAGCGCACGUAGGCGGAUCGUUAAGUCGGGGGUGAAAUCCUGGGGCUCAACUCCAGAACUGCCUUCGAUACUGGCGAUCUUGAGUGCGGAAGAGGUGAGUGGAACUCCUAGUGUAGAGGUGGAAUUCGUAGAUAUUAGGAAGAACACCAGUGGCGAAGGCGGCUCACUGGCUCGAUACUGACGCUGAGGUGCGAAAGCGUGGGGAGCAAACAGGAUUAGAUACCCUUGUAGUCC